Molecule: ribosomal RNA, 507 nt
Filed under: Fusarium cf. graminearum IPBCC 07.526
Lineage: Eukaryota; Fungi; Ascomycota; Sordariomycetes; Hypocreales; Nectriaceae
Description: eukaryotic LSU rRNA
Rfam family: 5.8S ribosomal RNA (bases 152-305)
Source: RNAcentral
UUACCGAGUUUACAACUCCCAAACCCCUGUGAACAUACCUUAUGUUGCCUCGGCGGAUCAGCCCGCGCCCCGUAAAAAGGGACGGCCCGCCGCAGGAACCCUAAACUCUGUUUUUAGUGGAACUUCUGAGUAUAAAAAACAAAUAAAUCAAAACUUUCAACAACGGAUCUCUUGGUUCUGGCAUCGAUGAAGAACGCAGCAAAAUGCGAUAAGUAAUGUGAAUUGCAGAAUUCAGUGAAUCAUCGAAUCUUUGAACGCACAUUGCGCCCGCCAGUAUUCUGGCGGGCAUGCCUGUUCGAGCGUCAUUUCAACCCUCAAGCCCAGCUUGGUGUUGGGAGCUGCAGUCCUGCUGCACUCCCCAAAUACAUUGGCGGUCACGUCGAGCUUCCAUAGCGUAGUAAUUUACACAUCGUUACUGGUAAUCGUCGCGGCCACGCCGUUAAACCCCAACUUCUGAAUGUUGACCUCGGAUCAGGUAGGAAUACCCGCUGAACUUAAGCAUAUCAA